UACGAAGGGGGCUAGCGUUGCUCGGAAUCACUGGGCGUAAAGCGCACGUAGGCGGAUUGCUAAGUCGGGGGUGAAAUCCUGGAGCUCAACUCCAGAACUGCCUUUGAUACUGGCAACCUUGAGUCCGGGAGAGGUGAGUGGAACUGCGAGUGUAGAGGUGAAAUUCGUAGAUAUUCGCAAGAACACCAGUGGCGAAGGCGGCUCACUGGCCCGGUACUGACGCUGAGGUGCGAAAGCGUGGGGAGCAAACAGG
RNAcentral lists this ribosomal RNA (253 nucleotides) under uncultured bacterium. Its description in RNAcentral is "partial 16S ribosomal RNA". It matches the Rfam family "Bacterial small subunit ribosomal RNA", at positions 524 to 776 of the family's 1533-position model. The record is from RNAcentral.